This is an RNA transcript of Humulus lupulus (European hop), 2054 nucleotides long. It is a transcript of the gene named protein MRG1-like, with no coding region annotated. The record is from RefSeq and is a predicted model, not a curated record. The transcript has 9 exons. NCBI's taxonomy places the organism in Eukaryota, Viridiplantae, Streptophyta, Magnoliopsida, Rosales, Cannabaceae.
GAAACAGAGGGCAAAACAUAGGCGAUAAAUAAGAAAAUUCCCUUAUUAAUUUGUUAAAAUUGAAGGAAGAAAAAAAUCUUCUUGUUCUGGUUCUAGUAAGGCUUCUUCUGGUUCUGGGUUUCGUGUCCACUUUCAGCUCAUCAUCAAUGGGAAGCUCAAACAACACUGGGCUUACUGAUUCCUCCGACAUCCAAAAGCUGGAAGACGCCGAUUCAUGCCCCUUUUCUAUAGGGGAAAUGGUCAUCGCCUUUCAUGGUCAUUCCUUUUAUGCGGCCAAGGUCUUAAAAAUUGUGGGUUACCUCAACAAUUGGGACUUUUUUGUUCAUUAUCAUGGUUGGAACAAAAAAUGGGAUGAGUGGGUAACUACAGAUCGUUUGAUGGCAUACUCUGAGGAUAAUGUGCGGAACCACCUUGCCAUAAACAAGCAACAAGAAAUAGACAAGAGUAUGAAGUUAGCACGUUCAUCAAAUUUUAAGGAGAAAAAUGCCAAUGUGUUUGUUAGUGGCAAGAAAAGAAAAAAUGAUGAUUGUCUCUUCAGGGGGAACAUUCACAUAACAAUGGAAAUGUGUGCAAAAAUUCAAAUACCACUGAGACUAAAGAAGCAUCUGGUUGAUGAUUGCGAAUUUGUUACUCGUAUGGGAAAGGAUCUUAUGACGAAAGAGACUAUCGGUAAAGGACAUGAAUCUAGAGGCCUCUAUACUCUUGAUACAUCGUCACCCAACUCUAUUGCUUGCUCGAGUGUUCCUUCUCCCUUCGAGGCUCAUUGUUGGUUGGAUCAUCCAUCUCUCCCUUUACUAAAGAAGCUUUGUCCUCAAUAUAUUUCCACAGCAUGUUUUCUCAUUAAUCGAAUGCCAUCCUCUGUUCUUCAAGGUGAGAUACCUUACAAAAGUCUUUGUUUCUUGUUGACCCUAAGAUAUUUGGUAGCACUUGUUUUGUUCGGGAUGUUCGUCCGCAUGUCACUAAAUUAGAUCCCAAGUCUUUGAAAUGUAUUUUUCUUGGUUGUUCCCGUCUUCAGAAAGGCUACCGGUGUUAUUGUCUCAGUCUUAACAAAUAUUUGGUCUUUAUCAAUGUCACUUUCCUCAAAGAUACACCAUAUUUCCCUUCUCUGCCCGUUCCCACUCGUCAGGGGGAGGACGAUGAUUUGUUGGUCUAUUCUAUCACUUCUUCUCCUGACUCGGACCUAUCACCAAUCUUGCAACCUGUUCUUGUGAAGCCUCCUAUUCUUCAAGUUUACUCCAGGCGACAACCUCUUGAUUCAUGUCCUGCACCUGCACCAUCAUCAGAUCCAGACCUGAGCGAUGAUCUUCCAAUUGCAUUACGUAAAGGUAUACGUAAGUGUACUUAUCCUAUUUCUUUUUUUUUUUCUUAUAAUAACUUGUCUUCUUUUUCUUGCUCUUUCAUUGCUUCCUUUGAUUCUAUUUCUAUUCCUAACACUAGUCGUGAAGUCAUAUCUCAUCCUGGUUGGCAUAAUGCAAUGAUAGAGGAGAUGAAUGCGUUGGAUGAUAAUGGUACUUGGGACUUGGUCGAUUUACCUUCAGGGAAACGGGCUAUCCUUUGCAAAUGGGUCUUCAUGGUUAAGGUCAAUCUGAAUGGGUCAGUUGCUCGAUUGAAAGCCCGUCUUAUCAUCAAGGGCUAUGCUCAAACUUAUGGAGUAGAUUAUUCUGAAACUUUCUCUCCUAUUGCAAAGUUGACACCUGUUUGGUUGUUUAUUUCUAUGGCAACUACUCAUUAUUUGCCUUUACAUCAACUUAAUAUCAAUAAUGCUUUUCUUCAUGGUGAUCUCCAGGAGGAGGUGUAUAUGGAGCAACCUCCAGGUUUUGUUGCUCAGGGGAGUCAGGGCGAGUUUGUCGUCUUCGAAAGUCUUUAUAUGGUUUGAAACAAAGUCCUUGUGCUUGGUUUGGAAAGUUUAGUCAGGCUAUUGAGAAAUUUGAUCAGCCAAUUCAGUUCAAGAAAUUAUGAAAGGAUUACAAUGUUACUUUGACAAGGCAUUGCCAUUGAGGCUUCUAUACAAAAGGGAACGUCGGCAAUAUGAGAGAGCAAUGGCAGCAUAUGAC